This 108-nucleotide ribosomal RNA is filed under the name Dufourea novaeangliae. Lineage: Eukaryota; Metazoa; Arthropoda; Insecta; Hymenoptera; Halictidae. The record is from RNAcentral.
GUCAACGAUCAUAUCACGUUGAAAGCACCAGUUCUCGUCUGAUCACUGAAGUUAAGCAGCAUUGAGCGUGGAUGGGUGACCGCUUGGGAACACCGCGUAUCGUUGGCA